This 449-nucleotide ribosomal RNA is filed under the name uncultured bacterium. Its description in RNAcentral is "partial 16S ribosomal RNA". It matches the Rfam family "Bacterial small subunit ribosomal RNA", at positions 29 to 523 of the family's 1533-position model. The record is from RNAcentral.
AGCGAACGCUGGCGGCAGGCCUAACACAUGCAAGUCGAACGAACCCUUCGGGGUUAGUGGCGGACGGGUGAGUAACACGUGGGAACGUGCCUUUAGGUUCGGAAUAACUCAGGGAAACUUGUGCUAAUACCGAAUGUGCCCUUCGGGGGAAAGAUUUAUCGCCUUUAGAGCGGCCCGCGUCUGAUCAGCUAGUUGGUGAGGUAAUGGCUCACAAAGGCUACGAUCAGUAGCUGGUCUGAGAGGAUGACCAGCCACAUUGGGACUGAGACACGGCCCAAACUCCUACGGGAGGCAGCAGUGGGGAAUCUUGAGCAAUGGGCGAAAGCCUGACGCAGCCAUGCCGCGUGGAUGAUGAAGGUCUUAGGAUUGUAAAAUCCUUUCACCGGUGAAGAUAAUGACUGUAGCCGGAGAAGAAGCCCCGGCUAACUUCGUGCCAGCCGCCGCCGUAA